UUGAGACCUUAAAAAGCUCCUGCUGUCAGUUCCAUGUUUGUUCUUCUUCUGGUUGGUUUCCUGCUUGAAGCUGCUGAUUCAUUUCACCUUCACUCAUCAGCUUGAUUCAGAUGAUUUUCAGCAUCUAAAGGUGAAGGUAGAACCACUCUGUGACCACAUGUGGAUCUGAAUUCCCCUGGUGUUUCUCUGCUAUGGAUCAGUGUGAGGACAGAGAGGAGGGAGUCCCUCCCUCUAAAAGCUCUCUGUGUGGGGAACAUGACAGCCAGACCAAAGCUCAGAGAACAAAGAAGCAGCACAGACCAGACUCUGAUGAACUCAG
Long non-coding RNA from Scomber japonicus (chub mackerel), 319 nucleotides. RefSeq lists it as uncharacterized. NCBI's taxonomy places the organism in Eukaryota, Metazoa, Chordata, Actinopteri, Scombriformes, Scombridae. The transcript is spliced from 4 exons. The record is from RefSeq and is a predicted model, not a curated record.